Branchiostoma floridae (Florida lancelet) is the source of this 218-nucleotide long non-coding RNA. RefSeq lists it as uncharacterized. The transcript is spliced from 3 exons. The record is from RefSeq and is a predicted model, not a curated record. NCBI's taxonomy places the organism in Eukaryota, Metazoa, Chordata, Leptocardii, Amphioxiformes, Branchiostomatidae.
AAUAGCGAUAUGAAUUUUGUUUACCCGUGACGUCACGGCCAACAUGGCUGACGAAGGAGGGUACCCGCGAAUCCAAAAUGGAUUUAUUCAGCAAUGCUGAAUGUGAACUGGGACUGUUGGCCUGACCCUGACCCAUACGAGUUCACCAUGAGCGGAACAGACACACCCACAAUAGGCUCCGAGAUGGGGCGACACAAAGCCCGACAGUGCGCCUGCUG